Molecule: ribosomal RNA, 390 nt
Filed under: uncultured Cercozoa
Lineage: Eukaryota; Cercozoa
Description: bacterial SSU rRNA
Rfam family: Eukaryotic small subunit ribosomal RNA
Source: RNAcentral
AGCUCCAAUAGCGUAUAUUAAAGUUGCUGCAGUUAAAAAGCUCGUAGUUGGAUUUCUGGUAUGAUGUAUCUGUCCCGCCACGGUAACGUGUGUGAGUGACGGUAUAUGUCUGCCAUCCUUCUAGAGGAAAGUGUUGGCCUUUACUGGUUCGAUAAUAUUAAUCUAGAUCUUUUACUUUGAAAAAAUUAGAGUGUUUCAAGCAGGCAAUUGCUAUGAAUACAUUAGCAUGGAAUAAUAAGUUAGGACUUCGGUUCUAUUUUGUUGGUUUCUAGAGCUGAAGUAAUGAUUGAUAGGGAUAGUUGGGGGUGCUAGUAUUCAGCGGCCAGAGGUGAAAUUCUUGGAUUCGCUGAAGACUAACUUAUGCGAAAGCAUUCACCAAGGAUGUCUUCU